GCCGGUCCGCACGGGAGCCCUGAGGGAACAGGGCUGAGAGGGGGUCUGCCGACCCCGACCGUCGAACCUGAUCCGGGUCAUGCCGGCGCAGGGAGCGUGGUGUCAACAGUG
Molecule: non-coding RNA, 111 nt
Filed under: Actinoalloteichus sp.
Lineage: Bacteria; Bacillati; Actinomycetota; Actinomycetes; Pseudonocardiales; Pseudonocardiaceae
Description: TPP sequence
Rfam family: TPP riboswitch aptamer (THI element)
About the family: Vitamin B(1) in its active form thiamin pyrophosphate (TPP) is an essential coenzyme that is synthesised by coupling of pyrimidine and thiazole moieties in bacteria. The previously detected thiamin-regulatory element, thi box was extended, resulting in a new, highly conserved RNA secondary structure, the THI element, which is widely distributed in eubacteria and also occurs in some archaea. Analysis of operon structures identified a large number of new candidate thiamin-regulated genes, mostly transporters, in various prokaryotic organisms.
Source: RNAcentral